CACAAUUUCAAACUCUUUCUCUCUUUUCAGCACCUACUGAAGAAAGGUGUCCCUGGCACACAUGGUGAGCAAGGUCUUGAUCCUCCCCUGCAGACUUUUGUCCAGUCUGAAAAGAUCAGCCUGGUCCCACGCAACGGCCUGACAAAGCUCACAGAUUUCAGCACUGCUAUUCUGCUCCUCCGACCAACUGCUCAGGACAGGACAGUUUACUGGGUAAGCCCAGACUAAUAAAGCUAUGUUUUCACUUAUGCAGCUGCAUUUCUAGGGCAACUCCACCAAAGAUGGAUUUUCAUCAGCGUAAUACAGAGCAGAGUUUGAUCUUACAGAAAGGAAGGAAAGCAAGUGGCUUCCCUUCUGCACAGGAGGUGUUUCAGGCGAGGAACCAUUUUCCUUGAGAUGGUUUACACCAGGGUAAACAGGCAAGGCAGGGAAUGCUGGGACCAGGAGAAGUGAUACCAGACUGAAGUGCGAGAGCUUACGGACCCAAGAGAUGAGCUGACCGGACGUUUACUUCAAGCAGAUUCAAGAAACACAGCUCGGAUUUGCUAUUUACACCAUCCUUGCUGGGGCCAAAUGCACCUUCGCGUACACAGCCUAGUAAAAAUAUCAGUUGUCUGAUAACUUUGGACUGUAUGAAACCGAGCAGACAAUGUGAGUGUUCCCCCAUUCUGCUCUCAUGAGCUCCCAGUGUUUUUAGCUUAAGAAUAUUUUUUGCACUUACCUGCAAACAGUUUUGCAGUUUGUAUAGAUCCCAUUUGAACGGUGUGCGGUUCUCUCCGAAUACAGACGAUCUUAACAUAGGGUUACAGGAAGCUUCAUAAAUUUCUAACAACCGUAUGGGAGAUUUGCGGCGCAAAAUCAUGCAAAAAUUAGUCUAAAUUACAUUUUGGAGUGUGACUUUUGAGAGAGUUACUGACACGGCAAUUAGAAAUAGUAUUUCUAAAAAAAUUCUGUUAAAAGAACACAAGCGUUUGCAGCUGCAAAAUAUUACUCCAAAUCUUUUUCAAGUCAGCAUUUUAGUCAUUGUAACCUACUGUCUGACACACUGGGGACAUAAUACGUCAUUGCUCUUAGUCCAGCUCCAGAUAAAACGGUCACAAAACAUAUCACAGUGUUUUUUGGAUACGAUCUCAGAGUAGACUUACCUAAUUUUUCCAAAUACGUGCACUGGAGACUGAAUUACCACUGAUCCCUAAACAGGGAAGCACAACUACCUACUACUACCUACUCUCUAGAACGUCUCUUUCUUGUCCUAAAUUAACCCAAAUCUGUCUUUAAAAUAUUGCAGCACAUCCUGCAUUUUCAUAUAAUAAAUAUUGAUUAAAAACUCCCAGGGAAAAUUUAAAAAAUUCUUGUUUUCAUAGCUGCAGGACACCAAUUAAUGAAGAAAAGGAAUGCAGGUCACCUGAGAACUGCAAAGAUACGUUGCCAGUAAUGACAAGGAGAACAUGAUGCAGAUCAGCAGAUGAAUCAUUCUCUUGAAAAUUCAUACCCUUCACCAAUUUCAGUAAUUGCUCUUUUGCUGUACCUGUACAACUUGGUGCAGAGAAAAGAAAUGUCAUUACUUAUAAACGUAGACAUGGAAUUAGGCACUGAAAAUAACAGCUAUAAAACAGGCGAGCUGGCCACCAACUACUCCCCUGUACAGAUACGUUCCUGUGUUCCCAUGGGUACACGUAAGUUGCCAGUCCUCCUCUCUGUAGAGGUACUUGGCUUACACGUCUUAAACUAAGUGGAAGAGGAAUUAAAAAUCUUGUACUCUUCCACGGUCAAAAACUUAAAGCCUGCCUCUAAACAUUUUUCUUAAUUGUCGAACUUCUAGUAUUGGGCUUUGUUGUCACGGCAUUCUCCUGUUCCUAGUUAAUCCAGUCUGCAGUUCACCAUUUUGUAGUUCACUGGAGGUGAAAGAAGCUCCCAUCAAGACAAUCAUAAAUACCACGGGUAUCACUUCUCUCACAUUAAGGACUUAUUCACAUAAAUAAGGCCUUUUGCUGGUGCUCUGCAUGAGCUAAAUUCCACUUGGAGUACAUUUCACCAGUGGACACUUAUGUUUAAUUUAAGACAAAAUUUUUUUGCUUUCUACUGCGUUUAAAUCUGGAUCUAUAUCUCCUAUACUUCAAAUGAUGCCUUAUAGAUUGCCAAAAAAGAUCUUGUUCUCUCAUGGAUGUUCUACUGCACACAGAGCAACCUGGCUGGGUGUUUUACCAUUUUAUACCUCUUUGUAGUUACAGCACAUUUCAUUUUCCUAUCCCAUGGAAAAAACAGCACGAAAAUAGCCAAAACUUCAAAAAAAGGAAUUAUUUGCCUGUCAGUAAUCACCUGUGCACAAUGGACCUCUGUACCCAUGCAGCAAAUACCACUCUAGGCUCUAAGUGAUCAUUAUCGGUCCAUUUUAGAACUAGAGUAAAAGCACACUAGGAGCAAAGUCAUUGCUAAAUACUGGAAUAACACAGGAGUAUACACACUGUCCAUUAUUUACCUGAUAAAAGAACGUAUCAGAAGCAACAUGUGGAGACCAUUCUCUCCAAGUUUACAGCUCAGCUCAAAGACCAAAUAUAUAAAAAUUUUUCAUUAGUUUAAAGAUUAUUAAAAAAAAUGCUUCCCUCAUGCUGCAUCUACAAGGAACUCGCUGCAACGUAUAACCACCAGCCUGCUGAGCAUGCCAUAACAUGUUAGCCUUACUACCACUAUAAUAAACACAACUUAAUUCAUUAUGAUUGAAGAAAUUAAAUCUGUAUUUUAUUAGGAGAUUGAAAACUGAAUGUCAAAGAGAAAACAAUUAUAAAUACACUCUGGUUCUGGUUACUCCAGGAUACCUUUAUGGGAACAAAGUUCUCCAUCAACCACAUAACUGAGAGCAAAACUUUGGGUUUUCUUAGACGCAUCAGCUGGAGACCCCACAGGUAAUUAAGACAUGAAUUUGAACAAUCAUCGUAAUUCCCUUUUCCAGAAUCUUGUGCUACUGCAGUCUUUGUUUUUUGAUUUAUUUGAUUCUCCAUCAUUCCACUUUCUGUAAGUUACAGCCCCUUCGUUCAGCUACACGAACUUGCCUUCAGUCUGUUCAUCAGAUAUCCCCAUAUAAGCCUGCUUUGAAGGUCUUAUUAAGUCUUAAAGCUGUAAUCUCAGCGUCAUUCCUAGGAGAAGCAAGUGCACUUCCAGCUUUUGCCAAAGGGAUUUUCCAUUGUCAAAAGUAUCAUCUUUUCCAGUUGAGACAACGAUUUUUUUUUCACCAAUACUCUUGAUGCUCUUUAAAAUCAAAGCUAGAAACAAAAGUGAACAUAAUUGUAUUAUACCAAAAAUUGAUCACGCUAUAGUUAUUUAUCCAUAUCACAACUGUACUUCAGAAGUAGGUAAUACCAGCUACAAAUAGAGUAUUUGUUGAAGCAGUAGGCAGAAUCCAACUGAAGUCAAACAAAAGAGACACCUGGAAAUAUCAGGCCCACACUUCAAGAAAACUGGAAUUUCACAAUAAACUGGAUCACAAGUCUUGUUCUAAUGUUUUUGAUUUCCAGUUCAUACACUAUUACAGCUCUUGAAUCAGGAUCUGAAGGAAUUCACACUCAAAGUGCAAGCAUGACAAAACAGCUUGCCAGGUUUCAAUGAAAAAAUCACAGAGCAAUUGAAAACACAAAGGAACUGUACUGCAAUGAGGAGAUCUUCUGUACUCAUCAGCUUUAGGAUAAUCUCCGUUUAUUUGCAGAGGUCCCACUUUUCCAGGGAAACCCUGCAGACCUCUCAAUCCUUCUUCUAGAGUCUGAUUUAAAAUAAAAUUGUGUAAAACUUUU
Non-coding RNA from Phalacrocorax carbo (great cormorant), 3785 nucleotides. The record is from RefSeq and is a predicted model, not a curated record. Lineage: Eukaryota; Metazoa; Chordata; Aves; Suliformes; Phalacrocoracidae.